RNAcentral lists this ribosomal RNA (465 nucleotides) under uncultured bacterium. RNAcentral's name for it is "partial 16S ribosomal RNA". It matches the Rfam family "Bacterial small subunit ribosomal RNA", at positions 28 to 507 of the family's 1533-position model. The record is from RNAcentral.
GACGAACGCUAGCGGCGUGCUUAACACAUGCAAGUCGAACGGAAAGGCCCCCUUGUGGGGUACUCGAGUGGCGAACGGGUGAGUAACACGUGAGUAACCUACCCUUGACUUUGGGAUAACUUCAGGAAACUGGGGCUAAUACCGGAUAGGAGCUCCUGCUGCAUGGUGGGGGUUGGAAAGUUUCGGCGGUUGGGGAUGGACUCGCGGCUUAUCAGCUUGUUGGUGGGGUAGUGGCUCACCAAGGCUUUGACGGGUAGCCGGCCUGAGAGGGUGACCGGCCACAUUGGGACUGAGAUACGGCCCAGACUCCUACGGGAGGCAGCAGUGGGGAAUAUUGCACAAUGGGCGGAAGCCUGAUGCAGCAACGCCGCGUGCGGGAUGACGGCCUUCGGGUUGUAAACCGCUUUCGCCUGCGACGAAGCGUGAGUGACGGUAAUGGGUAAAGAAGCACCGGCUAACUACGUG